This 459-nucleotide ribosomal RNA is filed under the name uncultured bacterium. RNAcentral describes it as "partial 16S ribosomal RNA". It matches the Rfam family "Bacterial small subunit ribosomal RNA", at positions 338 to 795 of the family's 1533-position model. The record is from RNAcentral.
CCUACGGGAGACAGCAGUGAGGAAUAUUGCUCAAUGGCCGAGAGGCUGAUCCAGCGAAGUCGCGUGAGGGAAGACGGCCCUACGGGUUGUAAACCUUUUUUGUCGGGGAGCAAAUCGAGUCACGUGUGACUCAUUGAGAGUACCCGAAGAUAAAGCAUCGGCAAACUCCGUGCCAUCAGCCGCGGUAAUACGGAGGUUGCGAGCGUAAUCCGGAUUUAUUGGGUUAAACGGGUGGGAAGGCGGAGGUGCAAGUCAGCGGUAAAAUCGCGGGGCUAAACCCCGUACUGCCGUUGAAACUGCAUGCCUUGAGUGCGCGAGAGGUAGGCGGAAUGCGUGGUGUAGCGGUGAAAUGCAUAGAUAUCAGGCAGAACUCCGAUUGCGAAGGCAGCAUACCGGCGCGCAACUGACGCUCAGGCACGAAAGCGUGGGUAUCGAACAGGAUUAGAUACCCCAGUAGUC